Molecule: non-coding RNA, 26 nt
Filed under: Mus musculus (house mouse)
Lineage: Eukaryota; Metazoa; Chordata; Mammalia; Rodentia; Muridae
Source: RNAcentral
UGGUUUUCGCUGGACCUCCUGCCAAC